Molecule: long non-coding RNA, 614 nt
Filed under: Mytilus galloprovincialis (Mediterranean mussel)
Lineage: Eukaryota; Metazoa; Mollusca; Bivalvia; Mytilida; Mytilidae
Source: RNAcentral
CUUUAAUACAAUAAUUAAACAAAAAUAAAAUUGAACUGUUCAAUAAACAUUUGAGAAUCUCUCCAUUCCACUCAUUCAGUACAUAACAUAGUCAUCGAAUUUCUUUGGAAGUGAGCGAUGGCGAUCCGGUCGACUAAUUGAAUCGGAUGAUGAGAAAUUUUGUUCCUUUUCUUGAGAGUCAAUAUAUGUUUCCUCUUAUGAGUUCAUUUCAAAGUUAUCGUUACUAAAAUUCAUGUCCGGACUGUUUGUACUAAGAGGAUGUUUAACAUUUUCUAAUUGAGUAAUGUGAUGCGGUAUUACUGACGGCAAUGUUGGAAGGUCGGGUAUAGCUUUAGGAAUUACCAGCACAGAUGGAGGUGAGGAGCUGUCGGUCACUCUUUCAUCGUCGUCGUCAUCGGAAUGCGACAGUAGACAUUUUAUUUACAUUUUUGGGACGGCCUAAUUCUAUAGUGAUGCGUUGUCUAGCUAACAGUUCGUCUUUUACUAAAGUUUUAAAACCAGAUGCAGGGUCGGUCCUGAUAACAGCAUAAGGGCCGUCUAGAGGGUGGACUUCAGCAAGAAGUUGAAUAAUUGCAUCUCGUAAAUCGUGAUGGCGCUCAGUAUCUAACAGUUUG